Molecule: transfer RNA, 132 nt
Filed under: Didymella heteroderae
Lineage: Eukaryota; Fungi; Ascomycota; Dothideomycetes; Pleosporales; Didymellaceae
Description: tRNA-Arg
Source: RNAcentral
GGCCUAAUGGCCCAAUGGCAAGGCGCUUGACUACGAUCUGUUCGGCAUCAAGAGAUUCCAGGUUGUAAGUAUCCGCUAGAUCGUAUCCAGCGUUCGAGUCCUAACAGUUCCUAGCGACCCCUGGUUAGGUCA